UCCGUAGGGUGCAAGCGUUGUCCGGAAUUAUUGGGCGUAAAGAGCUCGUAGGCGGUUUGUCGCGUCUGCUGUGAAAACUCGGGGCUUAACUCCGGGCCUGCAGUGGGUACGGGCAGACUAGAGUGCGGUAGGGGAGACUGGAACUCCUGGUGUAGCGGUGAAAUGCGCAGAUAUCAGGAGGAACACCGGUGGCGAAGGCGGGUCUCUGGGCCGUAACUGACGCUGAGGAGCGAAAGCGUGGGGAGCGAACAGG
This 253-nucleotide ribosomal RNA is filed under the name uncultured bacterium. Its description in RNAcentral is "partial 16S ribosomal RNA". It matches the Rfam family "Bacterial small subunit ribosomal RNA", at positions 524 to 776 of the family's 1533-position model. The record is from RNAcentral.